RNAcentral lists this ribosomal RNA (481 nucleotides) under uncultured bacterium. RNAcentral describes it as "partial 16S ribosomal RNA". It matches the Rfam family "Bacterial small subunit ribosomal RNA", at positions 28 to 507 of the family's 1533-position model. The record is from RNAcentral.
GAUGAACGCUGGCGGCGUGCCUAACACAUGCAAGUCGAGCGAAGCGCUUAAAUUAGAUUCCUUCGGAAUGACGAUUUUUGUGACUGAGCGGCGGACGGGUGAGUAACGCGUGGGUAACCUGCCUCAUACAGGGGGAUAACAGUUAGAAAUGACUGCUAAUACCGCAUAAGACCCCAGCUUCGCAUGAAGCGGUGGUAAAAACUCCGGUGGUAUGAGAUGGACCCGCGUCUGAUUAGCUAGUUGGUAAGGUAACGGCUUACCAAGGCGACGAUCAGUAGCCGACGUGAGAGGGUGACCGGCCACAUUGGGACUGAGACACGGCCCAGACUCCUACGGGAGGCAGCAGUGGGGAAUAUUGCACAAUGGGGGAAACCCUGAUGCAGCGACGCCGCGUGAAGGAUGAAGUAUUUCGGUAUGUAAACUUCUAUCAGCAGGGAAGAAAGUGACGGUACCUGACUAAGAAGCCCCGGCUAACUACGUG